This 253-nucleotide ribosomal RNA is filed under the name uncultured bacterium. RNAcentral describes it as "partial 16S ribosomal RNA". It matches the Rfam family "Bacterial small subunit ribosomal RNA", at positions 524 to 776 of the family's 1533-position model. The record is from RNAcentral.
UACGUAGGGUGCGAGCGUUGUCCGGAAUUAUUGGGCGUAAAGGGCUCGUAGGCGGUUUGUCGCGUCGGGAGUGAAAUCCACUGGCUUAACUGGUGGCUUGCUUUCGAUACGGGCAGACUGGAGGUAUGCAGGGGAGAACGGAAUUCCUGGUGUAGCGGUGAAAUGCGUAGAUAUCGGGAGGAAUACCGAUGGCGAAGGCAGGUCUCUGGGCUAUAACUGACGCUCAUGCACGAAAGCGUGGGGAGCAAACAGG